Molecule: ribosomal RNA, 452 nt
Filed under: uncultured bacterium
Lineage: Bacteria
Description: bacterial SSU rRNA
Rfam family: Bacterial small subunit ribosomal RNA
Source: RNAcentral
UCGGUUAGUCGGCACGAGCGCACCCUGUCUCUAGUUGCCAGCAUUUCGGAUGGGCACUUUAUAGAGACUCCCGGUGUCAAACCGGAGGAAGAUGGGGAUGACGUCAAGUCCUCAUGGCCCUUAUGGUCGGGGCUACACACGUACUAUAAUGGCGCGUACAAAGGGAAGCAAUACCGCGAGGUGGAGCCAAUCCCAAAAAAGGCGCCUCAGUUCGGAUUGGAGUCUGCAACUCGACUCCAUGAAGUCGGAAUCGCUAGUAAUCGUGGAUCAGCAUGCCACGGUGAAUACGUUCCCGGGCCUUGUACACACCGCCCGUCACACCACGAAAGUUGGCUGGACCCGAAGUCGCUAACCUAACCUUAGGGAAGGAUGCGCCGACGGUCUGGUCGAUGAUUGGGGUGAAGUCGUAACAAGGUAGCCGUAGGGGAACCUGCGGCUGGAUCACCUCCUUU